Molecule: long non-coding RNA, 340 nt
Organism: Dreissena polymorpha
Lineage: Eukaryota; Metazoa; Mollusca; Bivalvia; Myida; Dreissenidae
Exons: 3
Source: RefSeq, a predicted model, not a curated record
AAUACUCGAAGUUUGAUUGUCUUGUGUAUUGUAUAUUAUAUUGACACACGUUAAGAAUGUCAAAGGAAACCAACGAACACGCAGGCGGUUGCUGCACUUAUAGAAAUGUGUAACUCGAGUGUUAUGUCGGUUUUAACCAUCGUUUUAGGAAGUACAUUUCUGGCGAAGUCAUAGAUCGGUGUACAGAAGGCUAACGCCAGUUCAAAAUAACACAUUCAGUUGCUUGAUGGACCAGGAAAUGCGAACCAGCAAUCGAUCACACCGAGAGUGACGCUAUGGUCCACGUGGAAUAGAUGGUGCUUCCCGGAUUUACAGAGAGUCGUAUGAUACUCUACUAUAG